This is a long non-coding RNA of Oncorhynchus tshawytscha (Chinook salmon), 1618 nucleotides long. The record is from Ensembl. NCBI's taxonomy places the organism in Eukaryota, Metazoa, Chordata, Actinopteri, Salmoniformes, Salmonidae.
GCCGCACUAGGCUGCGGUGCGUUCUGUGUACUGCAUGCGUUCCAUCCUUUCAACUCCUGCGUUGUUUACUGUGCGGUGGUACAAACGGAAGUACACACACAGACUCCAACUAGCUAGCUUUUAGCUAGUUGAAGAGCGAAGCACAUGUGCGUCAAGUACAGAAAAUACAGGCAAGACAUCCAGUAAAAUAAAAAGCAUAUGCAUGUGGUGGACAUCAGGCAUUAAUCACGUUUAAGAGUGUUGGCUCAACAAGACAAUUCUGUUUACACUGCCCUGCUUAGAGGGGUGCAACUGUCAGGCAAGUGUUGUGCACUACCCGCAGAGGUAGCGGUCGAAACGUGACAAGUUUGCAUGUUUACAUUGUGUUAUAUGUGUGUAGCCGCGGGUAUUUUUGCGAAAAGCCUAGUAAGUGUUAAGACCCUCAAAAGUCCUCGGCGCAGCCCAAGAGGAAUCCUAUUCAGUACAGUGGGAGGAAGAUCUAAAUCAUCAGGCUCCAUAGUGAGGUUAUGCUGGGUUCAUAGAAGACUGGAGCUGAAGAGAGGGUCAGCUGUGUGUGACCUCACCACAGAUAAGUCUUUACUUGGAGACGCCGAACACACGGCGGGUGACUCUUGGACUGUGACGUAAGCCUCGCCCUUCUGUCUCCAAGUCUACGCUUUAUAAUACCGUUCUAAUGAAAAGGGAAUCUCACACCAAAUCCUCCUCAAUAACACUUAUUUGAAAGACUGUGAAAAGAUCAACACUCUUAGGCUACUCUUAAAUAUAUUUUCAUCUCCUUGAUGAUUAUGCACUGAUAACUUUCCCAUUUUUCUAUCAUCGAUUUUGGAGUCUAAGUCCAAUCAUAUUAUGCCUAUUUUGUUUAUUUUGUUACCUAUCUGUGUUCAUUGUAACUCAACGGCUUUUCUGUUCCCCAGUUCGCCAGAACAGUUAUGCACAGCAUCCAAUAGACUAGGCCUUCACGAAUUUGACUUUAUUGUUUGGCAAUUUGAAUAGCAGCUGCUUUAAAAUUACAGACAGAUAUGACAGACAGAAAGAUGAAAGGAUGUAUAGGCGUAUGGCUAGACCAACACAUAGGCAUGAUAUAUAUGAAGCCCUAUUUGUUUAGCCUAAAGUUGGUUAACCCAAUAAACUAUUAUAUAAUAGAAAACAAUUGUCAAGUGGAAUUGAUGAUUGAUAGGCCUAUUGAUUGAUGACAAUGACAAGUCUUUGGUAUUAUAAUGAGUUGUAACUGUUGGUUCUACGUCGAUGGUCUCCACAUACAGCCUCCGGGGCUUGUAAAAGGUAACUUUGGCCCUCUGACCUCGCUCUAGGAAUUCCAUCCUCUCCCCGUUACUAAAUCUUUCUCCUUCACAGGCUCUACCUUUGCUUCACAACGUUAUAAACUGUUUGCCUUUUAUGCAAGGCCUAGUAACCGAGGCAUUUUAUUGUCACCACGUGGGACCAGGGUUCAAGCAACAGCCGUCCGACAAGAGAGGUGAAGGGGCUAGAGGAAGGAUAACUCUUACUGACUUGAUGAAACUUUCAACAGUUUAGGCCUACUUUUCUGUUUAGCCUAAUAUUGUGACGAACGAAAAAUGUAGCCUGUUGCGGUGUGUUUUCAGAAUAAUUGUCUCAUGAU